Molecule: ribosomal RNA, 694 nt
Filed under: uncultured bacterium
Lineage: Bacteria
Description: bacterial SSU rRNA
Rfam family: Bacterial small subunit ribosomal RNA
Source: RNAcentral
AACGCUAGCUACAGGCUUAACACAUGCAAGUCGAGGGGCAGCAUGGUCUUAGCUUGCUAAGGCCGAUGGCGACCGGCGCACGGGUGAGUAACACGUAUCCAACCUGCCGUCUACUCUUGGACAGCCUUCUGAAAGGAAGAUUAAUACAAGAUGGCAUCAUGAGUUCACAUGUUCACAUGAUUAAAGGUAUUCCGGUAGACGAUGGGGAUGCGUUCCAUUAGAUAGUAGGCGGGGUAACGGCCCACCUAGUCUUCGAUGGAUAGGGGUUCUGAGAGGAAGGUCCCCCACAUUGGAACUGAGACACGGUCCAAACUCCUACGGGAGGCAGCAGUGAGGAAUAUUGGUCAAUGGGCGCAGGCCUGAACCAGCCAAGUAGCGUGAAGGAUGACUGCCCUAUGGGUUGUAAACUUCUUUUAUAAAGGAAUAAAGUCGGGUAUGUAUACCCGUUUGCAUGUACUUUAUGAAUAAGGAUCGGCUAACUCCGUGCCAGCAGCCGCGGUAAUACGGAGGAUCCGAGCGUUAUCCGGAUUUACUGGGUUUAAAGGGAGCGUAGGUGGAUGUUUAAGUCAGUUGUGAAAGUUUGCGGCUCAACCGUAAAAUUGCAGUUGAUACUGGAUAUCUUGAGUGCAGUUGAGGCAGGCGGAAUUCGUGGUGUAGCGGUGAAAUGCUUAGAUAUCACGAAGAACUCCGAUUG